This 240-nucleotide unclassified non-coding RNA is filed under the name soil metagenome. RNAcentral's name for it is "partial contains 5.8S ribosomal RNA, internal transcribed spacer 2, and large subunit ribosomal RNA". The record is from RNAcentral.
AACGAGGCCGACCUGCGGCUGAGUUACCUGCGGAAGGAUCAUUAUUGAAUAUUCUUGAUGGGUUGUAGCUGGCUCUUCGGGGCAUGUGCACGCCUGUCUUGACUUUAUUCAUCCACCUGUGCACCUUUUGUAGUCUUGGGGGUUGAGAGCAGUCAAUAAUCGGAUGACCAUUUUUGGUCACUCCGGAUGUGAGGAAUGCUGAGUGCGAAAGCAUACAGCUCUUCUCAAAGUGACUUGUAA